Molecule: ribosomal RNA, 253 nt
Filed under: uncultured bacterium
Lineage: Bacteria
Description: partial 16S ribosomal RNA
Rfam family: Bacterial small subunit ribosomal RNA
Source: RNAcentral
GACGGAGGGCGCAAGCGUUGUUCGGAAUUACUGGGCGUAAAGCGCGCGCAGGCGGGAAGGUAAGUCUGGAGUGAAAUUCCGGGGCUCAACUCCGGAGCUGCUUUGGAUACUGUCUUUCUAGGGACCGGUAGAGGCAGGCGGAAUUCCGGGUGUAGCGGUGGAAUGCGUAGAGAUCCGGAAGAACACCGGUGGCGAAGGCGGCCUGCUGGGCAGUUGCUGACACUGAGGCGCGACAGCGUGGGGAGCAAACAGG